RNAcentral lists this ribosomal RNA (505 nucleotides) under uncultured bacterium. Its description in RNAcentral is "partial 16S ribosomal RNA". It matches the Rfam family "Bacterial small subunit ribosomal RNA", at positions 28 to 507 of the family's 1533-position model. The record is from RNAcentral.
GACGAACGCUGGCGGCGUGCCUAAUACAUGCAAGUAGAACGCACAGUUUAUACCGUAGCUUGCUACACCAUAGACUGUGAGUUGCGAACGGGUGAGUAACGCGUAGGUAACCUGCCUGGCAGCGGGGGAUAACUAUUGGAAACGAUAGCUAAUACCGCAUAAUAUUAAUUAUUGCAUGAUAAUUAAUUGAAAGGUGCAAUUGCACCACUACCAGAUGGACCUGCGUUGUAUUAGCUAGUAGGUGAGGUAACGGCUCACCUAGGCGAAGAUACAUAGCCGACCUGAGAGGGUGAUCGGCCACACUGGGACUGAGACACGGCCCAGACUCCUACGGGAGGCAGCAGGAGGGAAACUUCGGCAAUGGACGAAAGUCUGACCGAGCAACGCCGCGGGAGUGAAGAAGGGUUUCGGAUCGUAAAGCUCGGUUGUAAGGGAAGAACGGGUGUGAGAGUGGAAAGUUCACACUGUGACGGUAUCUUAUCAGAAAGGGACGGCUAACUACGUG